RNAcentral lists this ribosomal RNA (437 nucleotides) under Verongimorpha sp. 1 JV-2020. Its description in RNAcentral is "partial large subunit ribosomal RNA". Lineage: Eukaryota; Metazoa; Porifera; Demospongiae. The record is from RNAcentral.
GAAGAGAGAGUCAAAUAGUGCGUGAACCCGUUGGGAGGGAAGAGAAUGCGGGUGGCUCAGUCCCGUUCGGGUUCAGGCGGCGCGGCGGUCGCCACUGGCCGGUCGGAUCCGUCAGGACCGACCUCCGGUGGAUCGUUCGCCGCGCCAUGCCGCAUUCCCGUCGGGUCCGGUCAGCGAGAGUACGCCGGCGUCCGAGGAGGGGAGGCGAGAGUUGGUGCGCGCUUUCGGGCUCGCACUCUGCUGGUCUCCGUCCAGGAUGCCGCGGACUGAGGAUAGCGGCGUCGAUCGCCCAAGCAGCGCAAGCCCCAGGGCCGGACGGGCGUWCCGGGCCGAGGCGUCCGCGCGGGACUGCUCGCAGUGUCGCGCGCGUCGUCGGAGUCCGGGGCGUCGCGGUCACGAUUCGCGCUGAGGUCGCUGGCUUCCCGCCGCCCCCAUCC